This 464-nucleotide ribosomal RNA is filed under the name uncultured bacterium. Its description in RNAcentral is "partial 16S ribosomal RNA". It matches the Rfam family "Bacterial small subunit ribosomal RNA", at positions 28 to 507 of the family's 1533-position model. The record is from RNAcentral.
GACGAACGCUGGCGGCGUGCUUAACACAUGCAAGUCGAACGGAAAGGCCCUGCUUGCAGGGUACUCGAGUGGCGAACGGGUGAGUAACACGUGGGUGAUCUGCCCUGCACUUCGGGAUAAGCCUGGGAAACUGGGUCUAAUACCGGAUAGGAGCCAUUUUGAGUGUGAUGGUUGGAAAGUUUUUUCGGUGUAGGAUGAGCUCGCGGCCUAUCAGCUUGUUGGUGGGGUAAUGGCCUACCAAGGCGGCGACGGGUAGCCGGCCUGAGAGGGUGGACGGCCACAUUGGGACUGAGAUACGGCCCAGACUCCUACGGGAGGCAGCAGUGGGGAAUAUUGCACAAUGGGCGCAAGCCUGAUGCAGCGACGCCGCGUUGGGGAUGACGGCCUUCGGGUUGUAAACUCCUUUCGCUAGGGACGAAGCUUUUGUGACGGUACCUAGAGAAGAAGCACCGGCUAACUACGUG